UGGAAAUGAUGAAAUAGAGAUAAUUGGGUGUUGAAUGUUGUAUGACUGGAGAUUUUUAAUAUGUAUCUAUAAGUAAUUCUAGGUUUAAUAUCUUAUAAAUAUUUAAUAGAGAGCGUGUGUGCAUGUGUGUGUGCUUGUGGCGGCUGUGGAAAGGGGGCACUGACUGGUGAUGCUGAUAUUGGAGUGCAUCUGAGGCUGUUGGAGGAAUAACAUGGGUUGUUGAUUACAACAUUGCCGAUGAUUACAACCCAAGAACAGCUCACCUAACUGGCCCAUCACCCUAAAAUCUCUAACGGGUUCAUUAAACAUGAUCCUGUGAUCUGAUCCAA
Molecule: non-coding RNA, 329 nt
Organism: Cynocephalus volans (Philippine flying lemur)
Lineage: Eukaryota; Metazoa; Chordata; Mammalia; Dermoptera; Cynocephalidae
Product: small Cajal body-specific RNA 7
Exons: 1
Source: RefSeq, a predicted model, not a curated record